UGAACGCUGGCGGCGUGCCUAAUACAUGCAAGUCGAGCGAACAGACGAGGAGGUUGCUCCUCUGACGUUAUCGGCGGACGGGUGAGUAACACGUGGAUAACCUACCUAUAAGACUGGGAUAACUUCGGGAAACCGGAGCUAAUACCGGAUAAUAUAUUGAACCGCAUGGUUCAAUAGUGAAAGACGGUUUUGCUGUCACUUAUAGAUGGAUCCGCGCCGCAUUAGCUAGUUGGUAAGGUAACGGCUUACCAAGGCAACGAUGCGUAGCCGACCUGAGAGGGUGAUCGGCCACACUGGAACUGAGACACGGUCCAGACUCCUACGGGAGGCAGCAGUAGGGAAUCUUCCGCAAUGGGCGAAAGCCUGACGGAGCAACGCCGCGAGAGUGAUGAAGGUCUUCGGAUCGUAAAACUCUGUUAUUAGGGAAGAACAAAUGUGUAAGUAACUAUGCACGUCUUGACGGUACCUAAUCAGAAAGCCACGGCUAACUACGUG
Molecule: ribosomal RNA, 495 nt
Filed under: uncultured bacterium
Lineage: Bacteria
Description: partial 16S ribosomal RNA
Rfam family: Bacterial small subunit ribosomal RNA
Source: RNAcentral